GAACUGCCUUUGAGCUCUUGGCGCCCUUCCUCAUGGCACCUGGGGUUAAGCUGGGGCCCCAUAGCAAUUGCUAGAGCAUAACUGGGACCACCUGCCCAUAGCCAGCAGCCCUUUUAACUGCUAGCUACAGGC
Small nucleolar RNA from Phodopus roborovskii (desert hamster), 132 nucleotides. Lineage: Eukaryota; Metazoa; Chordata; Mammalia; Rodentia; Cricetidae. The record is from RefSeq and is a predicted model, not a curated record.